GGUACAGAAAGCCAUUUUUUUUAGAAUGUUUUCCAUUAUUUAUCGUCAUAAGAUAUGGCCACCUUAAAAAAUGUAAAGUUCCUAAACACAACUUCUUGUCCUGAUUCAACAGUUUUGAUGUGUAAAUGUAAGAAUAGUAUCGAUCUUUAUUAAUUAAGCCUUCUAACAUUACUUUACUUACCGAGUGGAAAAUCGCAAUGGACCUUGGGAUCGCCCAUACGGUGAGCGUUGUUAAACUCAUCUCUGAAUGCCGUUUUCCCUGCAGUCUAGAUCCAUACGAGGCAGACAAUGGGUUGUGGUGUGCUGAAACAAGACGUCAAAUUUCAACGCUGUUUAGUUCCAUAGAAGUCUAUCGGACUACCCCCCACGUUGAAAAAAGACGUCAAAGGUAUACCCAGUGCGUCAAAAAAGUGACGCCAGAUCCCUUGACCAUGCGUCAGACAUUUGACGAGUAGCGAGUGAGACUGUGUUGGGCUUCCACCUUACUCGGGUCUGUGGAGAUACCAUGGAUAUUCACCACAUGCCCAAGAAAAGUCAACUCCUGAAGACAAAACCUGCUCUUCUU
Cyprinus carpio carpio is the source of this 565-nucleotide long non-coding RNA. NCBI's taxonomy places the organism in Eukaryota, Metazoa, Chordata, Actinopteri, Cypriniformes, Cyprinidae. The record is from Ensembl.